GACCGUCUUCCACCAGAGCUGCCAGGCUGUGGUGAAGAAGGGCUGCCCCCGCUGUGCUCGCUGACGCAAGUACCAGCAACAGAACGUUUUCGCCUGAUGCCCCUCUGCUGAUCCCACUCUGAAGGCCGGGGGAAACCUGGCAGCGCCGGAGCCGCGCGGUCGAGGAGGGAGCGCGGGACGCCGAGCCCACGCGCGCCUGCCGGGACAAGUGGAGACGAGGCCGGCGAGCGGACGCCCCGAGGUUGGCGAAGGAGCUGUGGCCGGGUCCCCUUCUUAUCCAGCCCGAGACACUGCGCUCCGGUGGGCGUCCCUGCGCUGGGAAUCCCUCUCGGAGUUUUUCCAGGCCCGGCCGGGUUGCUCCGGGAAAGGCCCUGUUGGGGGAGGUGGGCCCGGAGCUGGCAGGUCUACAAUCCGGUUGGAAGGGCUCGCAGUGGGUGAUUCAGGGUGCCAAUGACCUCCCCGCGAACGGGAACGCCCGCACUAGACAACCAGCCCCAGACCGGCAUUCCCAGAGCCGCAGGCGGGAGGGACGCAGGGACUCCGGGACAGCAAAUCCCCGGGGGAGAAGGGAAGGGGGAAGGCGGGACAGGGGAGGCCCACCCUCCUUGGGCUCCGCUAGCGACCAGCCAGCGCCCCUUCAGACGCAGCCUUCCUGGCUCCGGACCCCGGCUUUCUGCUCCGGUCCUCGUCCCAAUGCCCCCCAAGGUCCCCAGCAGAGGCAUUCAGGUUCCUCCUCGCCCCGCCCAGACGCAGCUUCUUUGGGUAUGGGUGACAGCACUCCUGAGCGUCGCUGUCCCUAUUCGCUGCCGUUGCCAGCUCCGAUUCCGCGAAACCUCUCCGGCACCACCUCGGAAGCCCCGCCCAGGGCGAUGGUCCGGGCCUAACCUGCCG
RNAcentral lists this long non-coding RNA (891 nucleotides) under Homo sapiens (human). Its description in RNAcentral is "non-protein coding lnc-LRRC37A3-5:2". Lineage: Eukaryota; Metazoa; Chordata; Mammalia; Primates; Hominidae. The record is from RNAcentral.